This 330-nucleotide ribosomal RNA is filed under the name uncultured eukaryote. RNAcentral describes it as "partial 18S ribosomal RNA". It matches the Rfam family "Eukaryotic small subunit ribosomal RNA", at positions 1470 to 1796 of the family's 1831-position model. The record is from RNAcentral.
CCCUUAGAUGUUCGGGGCCGCACGCGCGCUACACUGAAGGAAUCAGCACGUCUUUCUCCUUGUCCGAAAGGACUGGGUAACCCGCUGAACCUCCUUCGUGCUAGGGAUUGGGGCUUGUAAUUCUUCCCCAUGAACGAGGAAUUCCCAGUAAGCGCGAGUCAUAAGCUCGCGUUGAUUACGUCCCUGCCCUUUGUACACGCCGCCCGUCGCUACUACCGAUUGGAUGGUUUAGUGAGAUCCUCGGAUUGGUCCCGGCGCGGCCUCUGGUCGUGCCGGAGUGCCGAAAAGAAUGUCGAACUUGAUCAUCUAGAGGAAGUAAAAGUCGUAACA